UACUACUAUUAAUAGCAAUGACUGUCUUCAACUCUCGUUUACAAUCAUUACCAUAUUUCUUUUUAUAUAACUUUCUUCAUAGCCAUAUAGAUGAAAACUAAGACCCACGAGUAGCCACAGCAGAACAGAAAAGGUAAUUACCAAGGAGAAUGCUGACAAGAGUUCGGCAGAUAGGUAACAGGGAAAGUUCUAAUCCCUUCGGAAUGGAUUACAUCAUGUCACCUAGAUACUCCCUUGGAAACUACAAAUCUUAGUGGUAGCAGCCAGGCUUCAAAGUGCCAGUAACUGAAUCUAUGGCACCACAACUGUCUCCUGUAGAGAUUACCAUACCCAACUUCAGUACUGGCUCAUUAAGAACAAAAGUAGAUGUUUAGCUACAACUGUAAAGUCAGAGUCCUCCAGGCUGUCCAAAGAACUCGCCGAGGGACUCAAGUCUCCAGCCACCCGGGACACUUGCAAGAUCAGGACACUGAUAAAUGAAGACUACUGAGGACAGAGGGUGCCAUCACAGAGCAGGCAAUUUUCUCAAGGAAAAAGAACUUCCUGAAGCCAUCUCUCAGCAGCAUCGUCUUGACCAAUCACCUUCAAAUAUUCUCAAAUAUAUCUCAAAAAUGAAACGACAGUAAGUUCUCUUUUAAACAUGGGACAUUUAAAAGCAUCACCUCUAAUAAAAAGUAACACAAGCAUCUGCACUUAACAUGACUAAGUUAGAAAACUGAAAGAAUUCACGUAUCAUAACUGUUUUACCUUCCAUUAUUGGAUUAAUACAGUUUUUACAUAUGUGAAUAAUUUCCAUUAAACAUGCCACAGACCUUGUCCAACACAGGCAAACCAAAGCCCUGUAAAUUAAAUUAUAUUUUAGUACAGAACAAUUUUGGCAUAUGCUUGUUUUUCAAUAAACCUUGGCUGGUAAUUUAGCUUUUCAAAUUCAGUCAAGUUCAGUAGUUUCGCUUUUGAGACUGACCCUUCCCAGGGCUUGCCAUUUAGAGGAAUGCGACGUGGAAUAAUACUUUUGCAUGAUCUUGUGUUUUGAGUACUCAUCUUGAUAUAACAGCUUUAUAAGACUGAGAGUUUCUACCACGUUGAACGCAGCAUUUAAAUUUUCAG
Molecule: long non-coding RNA, 1107 nt
Organism: Chinchilla lanigera (long-tailed chinchilla)
Lineage: Eukaryota; Metazoa; Chordata; Mammalia; Rodentia; Chinchillidae
Exons: 3
Source: RefSeq, a predicted model, not a curated record